This 253-nucleotide ribosomal RNA is filed under the name uncultured bacterium. Its description in RNAcentral is "partial 16S ribosomal RNA". It matches the Rfam family "Bacterial small subunit ribosomal RNA", at positions 524 to 776 of the family's 1533-position model. The record is from RNAcentral.
UACAGAGGUCCCGAGCGUUGUUCGGAUUCACUGGGCGUAAAGGGUGCGUAGGUGGCAUGGAAAGUUUGAUGUGAAAGCUCAGGGCUUAACCCUGAAAUGGCAUUGAAUACUGCCGUGCUGGAGGUUUGGAGGGGGGACUGGAAUUCUUGGUGUAGCAGUGAAAUGCGUAGAUAUCGUCAAGAACACCUAUAGCGAAGGCAGCUUACUAGGCUGUAACUGACGCUGAGGCACGAAAGUGUGGGGAUCAAACAGG